Molecule: ribosomal RNA, 90 nt
Filed under: Haemonchus contortus (barber pole worm)
Lineage: Eukaryota; Metazoa; Nematoda; Chromadorea; Rhabditida; Trichostrongylidae
Description: partial 18S ribosomal RNA
Rfam family: Eukaryotic small subunit ribosomal RNA
Source: RNAcentral
UUGUGUGGGGGAAAAUACUCUAUGCAAUGGCUUGAACCGGGUAAAAGUCGUAACAAGGUAUCUGUAGGUGAACCUGCAGAUGGAUCAUCG